Molecule: ribosomal RNA, 330 nt
Filed under: Citrobacter freundii
Lineage: Bacteria; Pseudomonadati; Pseudomonadota; Gammaproteobacteria; Enterobacterales; Enterobacteriaceae
Description: partial 23S ribosomal RNA
Rfam family: Bacterial large subunit ribosomal RNA
Source: RNAcentral
UGUUUCGGCUAGGGGGUCAUCCCGACUUACCAACCCGAUGCAAACUGCGAAUACCGAAGAAUGUUAUCACGGGAGACACACGGCGGGUGCUAACGUCCGUCGUGAAGAGGGAAACAACCCAGACCGCCAGCUAAGGUCCCAAAGUCAUGGUUAAGUGGGAAACGAUGUGGGAAGGCACAGACAGCCAGGAUGUUGGCUUAGAAGCAGCCAUCAUUUAAAGAAAGCGUAAUAGCUCACUGGUCGAGUCGGCCUGCGCGGAAGAUGUAACGGGGCUAAACCAUGCACCGAAGCUGCGGCAGCGACACUAUGUGUUGUUGGGUAGGGGAGCGU